CAACUCAGUAGCUACCUCUGUAGUAAUGGAGCUCAUGGCAAACCAUUUGAACAGUGGCCACAACCUAUAUGUUGACAAUUAUUAUACCUCUGUUCAACUAGCAAACUCUUUGUUAUCGAGACAAACUCAUCUUUGUGGAACCUUAAGACGAAACCGAAAGGGCAUUCCAAAAGACUUGACAAAAGAAAAAAUCCAGAAAGGAGAAAUGAUUUGUUUAGAAAAUGAUGAAGGGGUCCUUAUAACUAAGUGGCAGGAUAAACGAGAAGUUUUAAUGUUGUCAACUGUGCACAAACCGGAAUAUGUAGAAAUUCCAUCCAAAAACCCAGACAAGCCGUCUGUACUAAAGCCACUUGUUGUCACAGCCUACAAUAAGGCUAAAGUAGGCAUAGAUCUUUCUGAUCAGAUGUCUUCAUACAGCACCGCUGUGAGAAAGACUAUGAGAUGGUACCACAAAGUAGGUGAAGAACUCGUUCUUGGUACUUCUGUGGUUAACAGCUGGUUGGCAUACAAUACAUUUUUGAAAACAAAAAAACCUCCCAAUGCUAAAAAGAAGCACUUAAUUUCGAUUACAAAAAUUCAAAGAACAGCUAGCUUGCUCCUUAAGAGUAGGCUUGAAACUGGAAAAAAAUAUUAUAAUCACCAUUUAAUUGAAGGAGGAGCUCUUCUUAUUGGAAAACGGUAUUAUAAUAAAAGAAACACACAAUUGUCCAUUAAUUUUAAACUGUGCCUUUGGGGCAUUGUGCCUGAUGAUGCCAUCUUUGAUGUCAAAAGCCCUUAUGAAUUAAAUUUAAAUUAUUUGGACAAAACUGUGUUCCUCUAAUUGUAUUAUUAUAACAGCAUGAUAGUUAUUAUCAUGUUUAUUUUAUUUUAUAAGUUGUUUUUGAUCAACAAUGGACACCACAAGCAGACAGGUGUAAUUUUGGACUAAAGAGAAUGUACGAUAAACUAGAAGGAAUGCAGUAUGUGACAAUCGUACCUUCAGAUCAUCCGAGAAUGUGAAGGAACACACCUACACUCUACUGGAGCUUUUGUGAACUACAAAACUCCGGAUGAACUAUCACUAAUCACUGCGCAGCCAGUUAAAGGAAAACUCAGUGAGUAUCGUGCAGAAGAGAAAACAGUGGGUAAUAAAUCCGCUGUGAGCAAGGAAGAAGAAAUGAGUGAUGAUGACAGCCUUUUAGAAGUGGAGGUAAAAGAGAAGGCAACUGAAGUGAUCUAUAUCGAUUCACUGGACUCACGAGAAACAUCACCAGACACAGACCGUGUUACAUGUGAAGGAAUGGAAAGAGUUAGGAAAAGGAAACAAAUGCUUCGUGUGAGACAAGAUCGGAUAUCCUCCAAAAGAAAGACUAGAAGCAGUAAGAGAUGUAGAAGAGAUCGCUCUCCCAGCUGUGACGUAGAGUGGUUUGUUAAUGGAACCCCGAUGCGACUGCAGGGCGAACAUUACCCUGUGUUAAUAUCGCAAUCCAAUUGGAAAGAGAUAACAAAGGAAUGUUAUGUUUGUAGAAAACAUGGAAAAAGAAAACAAGUUCACUUUCAGUGUAAGCAGUGUGUUGUAGGGCUCCAUGUAAACAGUUGUUUUGAAAUAUAUCACACCCGUGAAGACAUUUAAGAUGAGUUUAGUUUAGUUCUGUUGUGGUAUCAAACCGAAAAAUUAUAACUCGUUAAAUUUAUCAAACAGUAUUUUGUCUCCUCAGGUCAUACUUUUUAGCUUGACGCACUUAAAAUCAACAAUACUUACGUCUCUGUCAGUAAUCGAGAUAGAGAGAGCGACAGUUACCGUUUUCUGCCAAAUAGUCAGUUUUCAUAUGCUUUGGUGACACCGAUGUUAUUCACAUGUCUGUCACUGGCUUUUAAGUGUAUAAAGCUAAAAAAUACAAUCUGAGAUAUAUGAAAUGUUGUGUUUCCAAAGGUAAAACAGACUGCCAAGUUAUUAAGUUGUUUUAUAGUUAGUAGGGUUUUGUACAUUUUUGUAAUGUUAAAACACAAACAAAUAGUCCUCCCGGCUCAGACGGAAGAGGUAGGUAGAUUUUGUGACAACUGAAAUAUUUUAAAUUUAUUCUCAUGGGAUUUACUGUAGUCAAUAUCUCGAAAACCGUUCGAGAUACAAAAAAUUUCAAUAGUACAAACAAAAAGUUUAGAAAAUGUUAUGAGCAUUCUAGCAAACAUUUUGUUUUUUUCUCUAGGUUCAUAAAUAACGGAGUUUUGAAUUUUCCCAAAGUUUGAAUGGUUGUCAUGAUGGAACAAAAUGGUGUACCAAGUUAACAAACAAUCUUAGUCAUCAUAUUUUUAAAAAUCAAUUUUUGAACCGUUUAAACUUAAUUCACCAUUUCUAUCGCCAGUUCUUGUCGGAAAAAAUUCAUAUGGGAUUUACAUGUAAUCAAUAUCUCAAAAUUGUUCGGGAUACAAAAACAUUGUUAGUCGCAAAAUAUUUAGUAAUGUUAUAGGCAUUCCAGAACACGUUUUUUUUCUGGGUUUUUAAAUAACGGAUUUGUGAAUUAUUUAAAGUUUGAAUGACUGCCAUAAUGGAACAAAAUGGCCUACCAAGUUGGCCAACAAACUUAGCCGAGAUCUAUUUUUGUACCAAGUUUAAACUUGCUUAAGCUAUUUUUGGGACAGUUAUCAUUUCCAUAAACCACGUUACAUAGCAUAAGUAUAUAUUAAUGAGAUUUUGAAUAAGGGAUGGUUUUGGCCUCUGAGGUUCAUUUUCGGUGAAUUUAUACAGAAAUGUACGGUAAGUGCUGCCAUGAGGACAAAUUUAUACACACAAUUUACCUAAAAUUUGAAUCUUCACAGUAUUUUUAGUUAGGAUUAACUUUUUUAUAAAUAUGUUUAAAUAGUUAAUAAAAUUAUUAAAAAUAUGAAAAUUUGUUCACUAAUUUACUUUGUAGUUUAAUUACUCCUCGUCCCUUUAGAAUUGUUGCAGGAAAUACAUGUUUAGUACAUCAGUGGCUGCUGUUAAAGUUACAUCUUUAUUUUUUUGUUAUUUUGUAGCUGCUUAAACUUUUUUGUUUUAACUGCAGAAUCUCCAGGAUAUUUUGAAAGUAACAUGAUUUUGCUGUCUUCAGUUCUUGUACUUUUAUCAACAAUAUGCUUUGAAUUUGUAGGUAACUUGUGUUGGUUUUUUAAACUGUCUUCAAAUUGAGUUUUAGAACUGGCAAGAGGCUUAACACUCUUUAUAGAUUUCCUCCUUGUUGCAAACUUGAUUUCUCUAUCACUCAGUUUAAGCAACCUCACUUCACACCUUUGUGACAGUUGUGCUAAUGAAACUUUGAUCAAUGGUCCCUUCAGGCCAGCUGAAGCUUGAGUUUUAGCGAUAGUGCUCAUCUUUUCAACCCUGGCUACUGGAUCCAAAUUCUUGAGCCAGGUUUUAAAAUGUUCAUUGCCGAUCUUGACUAGUGGUCCGUUGGUUUUAUCCAUUGUGCUGGUCACGCUUGGUCAUCAUCAUAUCUCUUUCACCACAGCCUUCAUCGCUAAUGGACAUUAGAUAAUAGUCAAAUGGUUUCCAUCUUCAAAAGUAAAAAAAAGUAGAGAAUAUAUAAAGUAAUGUAAGCUAGUUAUUUUACCCUUAAAACUAUGCAAUAUUCCAAGUUUUUGUGUAACAAUUUGUGUUAUGCAGUACCAAAGUGUAUCAAGUACAGAGUGCAAACACUAUACUCAUAUUAGCUCUUUAACCCUUUGGGUACUACAUAAUUAUUAGCUUUUUACUAACUCUUUAAACUUACUAUUGUGUUACGAGUAGUAUUUUUGACUAUAUUUGAAUUAGUGAUUUUAAAAGGGCAGAUUUGAAAUUUUUGGCAAAAUUAACUUUAUAAACUUUUUUGUUCUUUGAAGAUAGCUUCAAUGAUUUGAUUUAAAAGAGCGCCUGAAAAUGCUCUUGUACAUUUUACCCUAGCCGAAAGUUUAUUGGUUGUUUUAAAAGGACCAAUUUAUUUCAAAUCUGUCCCUUUAAAAAAAUCAUUCCCUGUGGCUGGACUAGUAUAAGCUGUGCAGUGUUUAGUGAUUUGCAGCCAAAUAACAUAACCUAUAUUGUAUAUGAUCAGUUUUAAAGAGUGUUGUAGUCCCACGUUGGCUGUGUCAUUUUUCUCCGAAUCGGUGUUUAAAAAAUGUUCAAACUUCCAAUUCCCACGUCGAUGUGUCCUAUGCUGUGGAAAUUGUAUGUAGUGUUGUUGGAAGUAUACUGAGUGUUAGUGAAAGUAUACGUUAUAUGUCACUAGGACUAGGCCUAUAUUCAUCUCAGGUUUUAAAUAGGUUAAAUGAUAGUGCAAAUUAAAUAUCACUGCAUUGAAGGCUCACACUUCUUCGCAGAUGGGAUAGUCAAUCAGUGGUGGUUCACUGUGAAUCAUAUGCAACUGAGCGUUGAAAAAACAAAAUACAUAAAUUUUUCUUUAAAAAAAGAAGUAAAUUUUUCAGUACCGAUUUUAUAUAGGUGUGCAGAUUGUAUUAGUCAACAAAUUCAUUGUAAAAAAAGUAAAUGUUCUGUUUUGGGUAAAACCAGUGAAAUAAAGUAUUUAGGUGUAUAUGUUGAUAGUGAAAUGAAUUGGAAGAUACAUAUAAGUAAAUUAAAUAGUAAAAUAAAUAAAAUCCUAAGGUUUUUCUAUUUUUUUAAAAGUAUGUGUAGUGAGAGAGUUUUGCGUACAGUUUAUUUUUCAAUGGUGCAGAGCAGAAUAGAGUAUGGAAUAGUAUUUUAGGGCAAUACAUAUAUUUCUUACUUGAACUUAAUAUAUCUACGGCAGAAGCAUUUGGUAAGAAUAAUCUCAAAUAAAACUAAAUAUGAACCUCCUCGUCCAUUGUUCUUAGACCUAAAAAUUUUUCCUCUGAGAUAUUUAUAUGUAUUCAAAGUCUUAAAACUUUUUUACUGUAGAAGUGGAAAUAUUCCAGCCAAUGUAAAUACCUAUAAAUUGAGAUUAAGAAAUGCAAAUAAAUUUACAAUACCUAAGCCAACAAUAUCUUUUUACACUAGAACAUAUAAUUUUAUCGCACCAAAGAUUUUUAACCAAAUACCUGAUUAUAUUAAAUAUUCAUACAACAAAAAUAUUUUUUUGAAUAGACUAAAAUCAUGGCUCUUUCAUUUGGAAGAUAUUGAGUUUUUGUUUAAUAUUAUACAAUAGCUUACUUAUUCAGAUGAUCAGUGUUUAUCAGUAAUGUAUGGUUAAUAUUUGUAUGUAAAUAUUUAUUUAUUGUUAAUACAGUUGUGAAGUCAA
RNAcentral lists this long non-coding RNA (5204 nucleotides) under Homalodisca vitripennis (glassy-winged sharpshooter). RNAcentral's name for it is "uncharacterized LOC124366959". The record is from RNAcentral. Lineage: Eukaryota; Metazoa; Arthropoda; Insecta; Hemiptera; Cicadellidae.